This 73-nucleotide transfer RNA is filed under the name Rhodopseudomonas palustris. RNAcentral describes it as "tRNA-Thr". Lineage: Bacteria; Pseudomonadati; Pseudomonadota; Alphaproteobacteria; Hyphomicrobiales; Nitrobacteraceae. The record is from RNAcentral.
AGGCAUAACUACGGUCUCAGCUAUUCCCUUGGUAAGGGAGAGGUCGACAGUUCAAUCCUGUCCGGCAGCACCA